Molecule: ribosomal RNA, 368 nt
Filed under: uncultured bacterium
Lineage: Bacteria
Description: bacterial SSU rRNA
Rfam family: Bacterial small subunit ribosomal RNA
Source: RNAcentral
AACGAACGCUGGCGGCAGGCCUAACACAUGCAAGUCGAACGCUCUAGCAAUAGAGAGUGGCAGACGGGUGAGUAACGCGUGGGAAUCUUCCUGGUGGUGCGGAAUAACUCGCCGAAAGGCGAGCUAAUACCGCAUAAGCCCGCAAGGGGAAGAUUAUCGCCAUCAGAUGGGCCCGCGUAGGAUUAGCUAGUUGGUGAGGUCAUGGCUCACCAAGGCGACGAUCCUUAGCUGGUUUGUAGAGAAUGACCACGCCACACUGGGACGUGAGACACGGCCCAGGCUCCUACGGGAGGGCAGCAGUGGGGAAGUCUUGGACAAUGGGCGGCAAGCCUGAUCCAGCCAUGCCGCGUGAGUGACGAAGGCCUCGG